Molecule: ribosomal RNA, 376 nt
Filed under: uncultured bacterium
Lineage: Bacteria
Description: bacterial SSU rRNA
Rfam family: Bacterial small subunit ribosomal RNA
Source: RNAcentral
UACGUAGGGGGCAAGCGUUAUCCGGAUUUACUGGGUGUAAAGGGAGCGUAGACGGCAGGGCAAGUCUGAAGUGGAAGCCCGGGGCUCAACCCCGGGACUGCUUUGGAAACUGUCCGGCUGGAGUGCAGGGGAGGUAAGUGGAAUUCCUAGUGUAGCGGUGAAAUGCGUAGAUAUUAGGAGGAACACCAGUGGCGAAGGCGGCUUACUGGACUGUAACUGACGUUGAGGCUCGAAAGCGUGGGGAGCAAACAGGAUUAGAUACCCUGGUAGUCCACGCCGUAAACGAUGAUUACUAGGUGUCGGGGGUUAUUAAACCUUCGGUGCCGCAGCAAACGCAAUAAGUAAUCCACCUGGGGAGUACGUUCGCAAGAAUGAA